RNAcentral lists this ribosomal RNA (253 nucleotides) under uncultured bacterium. RNAcentral describes it as "partial 16S ribosomal RNA". It matches the Rfam family "Bacterial small subunit ribosomal RNA", at positions 524 to 776 of the family's 1533-position model. The record is from RNAcentral.
UACGUAGGGUGCGAGCGUUAAUCGGAAUUACUGGGCGUAAAGUGUGCGCAGGCGGCUUCGCAAGUCGAGUGUGAAAUCCCCGAGCUUAACUUGGGAAUUGCGCUCGAAACUACGGAGCUGGAGUGUGGCAGAGGAAGGUGGAAUUCCACGUGUAGCGGUGAAAUGCGUAGAGAUGUGGAGGAACACCGAUGGCGAAGGCAGCCUCCUGGGCCAAUACUGACGCUCAUGCACGAAAGCGUGGGGAGCAAACAGG